Molecule: long non-coding RNA, 335 nt
Filed under: Homo sapiens (human)
Lineage: Eukaryota; Metazoa; Chordata; Mammalia; Primates; Hominidae
Description: non-protein coding lnc-SERPINB6-1:15
Source: RNAcentral
UUGGGACUUUCCCUCUCAGACAUUUAUUGGUUCAUUCAUUCGUUCAUUUUGCUGUAACUCACAGUGGCCCUCCCCAUCCUAAGGUGCACUGCUGGGAUUGGUCUAUGUGCUGAUGAUGUUCUCCUUGUCUUCAGAGGUGAGAAUGUGCCCUCCCUCCGAGAUGCCCUCUUGCCCCUGAGCUCCCCGCCUCCUGGGUUCAAGUGAUUCUUAUGCCUCAGCCUCCCGAGUAGCUGGGAUUACGGGAAUACGCCACCACGCCUGGCUAAUUUUAUAUUUUUAGUAGAGACAGGGUUUCUCCAUGUUGGUCAGCCUGGUCUCAAACUCCCGACCUUAGG